UACGUAGGGGGCAAGCGUUGCCCGUAUUUAUUGGGCGUAAAGAGCGUGUAGGCGGCCUGACAGGUCUGCUGUGAAAACUCGAGGCUCAACCUCGAGAUGUCGGCGGAAACCGUCUGGCUAGAGUCCGGAAGAGGAGAGUGGAAUUCCUGGUGUAGCGGUGAAAUGCGCAGAUAUCAAGAAGAACACCUAUGGCGAAGGCAGCUCUCUGGGACGGUACUGACGCUGAGACGCGAAAGCGUGGGGAGCGAACAGG
RNAcentral lists this ribosomal RNA (253 nucleotides) under uncultured bacterium. Its description in RNAcentral is "partial 16S ribosomal RNA". It matches the Rfam family "Bacterial small subunit ribosomal RNA", at positions 524 to 776 of the family's 1533-position model. The record is from RNAcentral.